UGAAGCGGCAAAAGCUCAAAUUUGAAAUCUGGCACCUUCGGUGUCCGAGUUGUAAUUUGAAGAAGGUAACUUUGGAGUUGGCUCUUGUCUAUGUUCCUUGGAACAGGACGUCACAGAGGGUGAGAAUCCCGUGCGAUGAGAUGCCCAAUUCUAUGUAAAGUGCUUUCGAAGAGUCGAGUUGUUUGGGAAUGCAGCUCUAAGUGGGUGGUAAAUUCCAUCUAAAGCUAAAUAUUGGCGAGAGACCGAUAGCGAACAAGUACAGUGAUGGAAAGAUGAAAAGAACUUUGAAAAGAGAGUGAAAAAGUACGUGAAAUUGUUGAAAGGGAAGGGCUUGAGAUCAGACUUGGUAUUUUGCGAUCCUUUCCUUCUUGGUUGGGUUCUCCGCAGCUUACUGGGCCAGCAUCGGUUUGGAUGGUAGGAUAAUGACUAAGGAAUGUGGCUCUACUUCGGUGGAGUGUUAUAGCCUUGGUUGAUACUGCCUGUCUAGACCGAGGACUGCGUCUUUGACUAGGAUGUUGGCAUAAUGAUCUUAAGCCACCCGUCUUGAAACACGGACCAAGGAGUCUAACGUCUAUGCGAGUGUUUGGGUGUAAAACCCGUACGCGUAAUGAAAGUGAACGUAGGUGAGAGCUCUUAAGAGUGCAUCAUCGACCGAUCCUGAUGUCUUCGGAUGGAUUUGAGUAAGAGCAUAGCUGUUGGGACCCGAAAGAUGGUGAACUAUGCCUGAAUAGGGUGAAGCCAGAGGAAACUCUGGUGGAGGCUCGUAGCGGUUCUGACGUGCAAAUCGAUCGUC
Molecule: ribosomal RNA, 793 nt
Filed under: Debaryomyces hansenii
Lineage: Eukaryota; Fungi; Ascomycota; Pichiomycetes; Serinales; Debaryomycetaceae
Description: LSU rRNA
Rfam family: Eukaryotic large subunit ribosomal RNA
Source: RNAcentral